UAAUACAAAUUCAAGCAACACAAUGAUAAUAAAAUUACAUGGAAAUAAAAUUAUAUGAACACAAAAAUAAUACACAAAUUAAAAUAUUACAACAAUACUAAUAUUCAGGUAAAUUUAUGUAUUUUUUAUUUUUAUUUAUAUGUAUUUUAUUUAUAAACGUAUUGUUUUGUUAAUUAAGAUUAUGUGUAAUAUUUUAAUGUAUGUUUUAGAGUUAUUUAUAAAAGUUAGAUUGUUUUAAAAUUAUUAUGAAUAAUAUAAGGACUAUAAUGCAAAAUACACAUUUUAAAACCUUCAUAUUUGAAGUAUACUCUUGGAGAAGAAACUACUCAUACUUUAUAUUUGAAAUUUACAUACUCUAUAUACGAAGUAUCUCUUGGAGAUGCUUUCAAUUAGUAUAUCUCUAAAAGUUAUUUACUUGUCAUGUAGCAAUAGUGAUUAUCUGUGAAAAUGAUUUACAUGUAAAAUGAUAUGUUUUCAGGUAUCCAAUAAAAUUAUAUAUUUAACCUCGUAUAAUUGUAAAAUUUAAAUCUGUUUAUAAAUCUUAGGGGGUGAACCCAAGUAUUUUUCAUAAAAUUAUGUCUCUCAUACAUACAAUUUUAAAUUUCUACUUCACAUUUAUUUUGUUGAAAAUUAUAUUUAUUUAAUAAACUUAAACAAAAUCAAUUCAUAUUAUGUUCGUACUUUUUUAUUUCAAAUUACAAAUUUAACUUGUUCUUUGAUCAAAGAAACCAUCAUAUGAUUUUCCAGCUAUUUUAAAUUACAAAUUUAGUUUGUUUUUUGUACCGACUCAUAGAAAUAAUUUUAGAUAUUGGUUUCUUAAUCACAGAACAAGUUAUAUUUGUAAAGUAAAAUAAAAACUACACAAGAUUUUUUUUUUAAGAUAUGGAAGUUUUGAAGUUCACAAGGAAGAGAAAAGUUAAAACCUUUCUUACAAAAAAAAUCAUGGUAUUUAAACCUAUUUUUAACAUGAUAUAUGAAUGAUAAAUAUAUAGAUGCAUGCAUUAUGCAUAACAUAACUAUGCAAAACAUGAGCAAAACAUAUGCAUAUGAAAAAACUUUUAUAUGCAAAUCACAUCACCUAAAACAUGUUUAGCAUUGUGAACAUCAUGGAAUUCAUUCAUUAUGUAGAGAAAUAAAGAAAAAAGCUUAUUAGAGAUUAUACAUAUUUUAAGGAUAUCAACUAGUCUAUUAGAACAUAAUAUUACUGCCAUGAAUGGAUGGAAGUAAGGCAUAUUCACUCCAAAUUGCUGCAUUUCCCUAUGUCGCUAGAAUCAACCAUAUGGAAAACUUUUCCACACUUUUCCACAUUUGUUUUAACAAGCGUGUCAAAUGAGAUUCUCAACUAAAACAAAGACUGAUUAUUCAAACUCACCACAAAGGUAAAGAGAUGAUGUGCUUAGAUUGUGAUUGUAACGAGGCAGCACAAAAUUCACACGAACAAGGUUCUCAUGGCCAAUGAAUGAUUGAACAAAAGUUAAUGUUGUGAAGGCGAUUGCCGUCAUAACCAAAACCUUAACUACAUACACAACAACAAUUAUAAAAGGAUCUUUUGAGCUAUUGGUCAUACUCAUAUUCUUUGAUUAAAGAAACCGUUAUAUAAUUUUCCAGCUGUUUUAAAUUACAAAUUUAGUUUGUUUUUUGUUCCGACUCAUAGAAAUAAUUUUAGUUAUUGGUUUCUUAAUCACAGAACAAGUUAAACUUGUAAAUUAAAAUAAAAACUACACAAGAUUUCUUUAAAAAAAAAAAAAGAUAUGGAAGUUUUGAAGUUCACAAGGAAGAAAGAAGGUAAAUCUUUUUUAC
RNAcentral lists this small RNA (1800 nucleotides) under Arabidopsis thaliana (thale cress). RNAcentral describes it as "ATSL260340". Lineage: Eukaryota; Viridiplantae; Streptophyta; Magnoliopsida; Brassicales; Brassicaceae. The record is from RNAcentral.